Molecule: ribosomal RNA, 400 nt
Filed under: uncultured Methanosaeta sp.
Lineage: Archaea; Methanobacteriati; Methanobacteriota; Methanomicrobia; Methanotrichales; Methanotrichaceae
Description: bacterial SSU rRNA
Rfam family: Archaeal small subunit ribosomal RNA
Source: RNAcentral
AGCAAUAUGAAGGUCAGGCUGAAGACCUUACCGGAUUAGCUGAGAGGUGGUGCAUGGCCGUCGUCAGUUCGUACUGUGAAGCAUCCUGUUAAGUCAGGCAACGAGCGAGACCCACGUCCACAGUUGCCAGCAUACCCUCCGGGGUGAUGGGUACACUGUGGAGACCGCCGCUGCUAAAGCGGAGGAAGGAAUGGGCAACGGUAGGUCAGUAUGCCCCGAAUCUCCCGGGCUACACGCGGGCUACAAUGGUUGGUACCAAUGGGGCAUCUACCCCGAAAGGGGAAGGAAAUCUCUUAAAGCCAAUCGUAGUUCGGAUUGAGGGCUGCAACUCGCCCUCAUGAAGCUGGAAUCCGUAGUAAUCGCGUUUCAACAGAACGCGGUGAAUACGUCCCUGCUCCUU